GCGGCCGCACCAGGCUGCCCCGCUCCCCGCCCACGCUCCCAGCGCCUACGGACCCAAAGCCCGGCGUUCACGCCGCGAAGGAUACGAUGGGCUGCACCAUCACCUUCUGCACCUUCUGGCCCUGGCCGCGAUACGCCAUGGUGGAAGUCACAAAGACCACACGACUAGGAAGGCCGCCUCGGAAAGGGACUUCCGGAAGCAAGACCUGGAAACGGAAGCGCAUGUGGUCGUCGGCGACGCGGGCCGGUCCUGGGAAACGCCUCUCUAGCCACGGGGCGGCUUUUUGUCUAUGCUUAUAGCCUCCGCGGGCCGCCUUCCCAGUCAACCUCUCUGGGAAACCGAGGUCGGUCCUACAGCGCCUCCUGCAGGUAGGCUGAAGGCGCUGCGCUUGCCUCUCGGCCUCGGUGCUAUUCUGAGAGCCGCUCUAGAAUUUAAGUCUGGUGGCUGUCACUGCAGGCAACAUCUUGUCCAAAACCAUCUGCAGGCUUCCCUUAUUUAUUUUGGGCCCCAGAGCGUCUGGAUUGUCAUGCCCGAAGCAGUGGCGUAGUUGUGGUUUGCUCAAUAACAGAUUGAACCCUCAUCACCGUUAUGGAGAGUUUCUGUUGAGGUGGCAACUAUGGAAGGCAAUCUAACUUAGAUCCGUCUGAGCUACAUGAGGGCUUGUUUCAAAACAAAACAACCUACAUGGUAUACAACCUGAUAAACUUAAGGAAAUGGUAGCCAGUGACAUCCUGAUGGGGAAGAGCAAGCAAUGGUAUGCUGGACUUGAGAUUUACUUCACUCUCAACUGAAGCUCUGGCAGAAUUUAAGGAAUCACAUUUACAUGUGCAACUACAACCCCAAGAAUAAGCACUUCCUUAAAUUGUGCCCAGGCUACCUGUUUCUGUUACCCUGGUCCCAGCCCAGAGAGCCCAAAUCAAGCACAGUGGUGUGGGAAGAGAGCAACAAGAUUAGCUGAGGGGCUGGACAGACAGUUCAGCCUUGACAGUACUUACCUUGCAGAGGACCUACCUUAGGUUCCCUGGACUCACAUGGUGGCUCACAACAGUACCUCCAGUUCUGUUACCCUCUGUUGUCACCAGGGACACAUGUAUUACAUAUACAUGCAUGAUGGCACUCAUAAAAAUAGAUGAAUAUGAA
Long non-coding RNA from Mastomys coucha (southern multimammate mouse), 1140 nucleotides. RefSeq lists it as uncharacterized. NCBI's taxonomy places the organism in Eukaryota, Metazoa, Chordata, Mammalia, Rodentia, Muridae. The transcript is spliced from 2 exons. The record is from RefSeq and is a predicted model, not a curated record.